CCUACGGGUGGCUGCAGUGGGGAAUAUUGCACAAUGGUCGCAACCCUGAUGCAGCGACGCCGCGUGUAGGAAGACGGUCCUCUGGAUUGUAAACUCCUGUCCCCAGGGACGAAGAUGACGGUACCUGGGGAGGAAGCUCCGGCUAACUACGUGCCAGCAGACGCGGUAAUACGUAGGGGGCGAGCGUUGUCCGGAAUUACUGGGUGUAAAGGGAGCGUAGGCGGGGAUGCAAGUUGGAUGUUAAAUCUACCGGCUCAACUGGUAGUCGCACUCAAAACUGCAGCUCUUGAGUGAAGUAGAGGCAGGCGGAAUUCCUAGUGUAGCGGUGAAAUGCGUAGAUAUUAGGAGGAACACCAGUGGCGAAGGCGGCCUGCUGGGCUUUUACUGACGCUGAGGCGCGAAAGUGUGGGGAGCAAACAGGAUUAGAUACCCGAGUAGUC
This 440-nucleotide ribosomal RNA is filed under the name uncultured bacterium. Its description in RNAcentral is "partial 16S ribosomal RNA". It matches the Rfam family "Bacterial small subunit ribosomal RNA", at positions 338 to 795 of the family's 1533-position model. The record is from RNAcentral.